GCCGGGCAUGGUGGCACAUGCCUGUAAUCCCAGCUACUCAGGAGGCUGAGGCAGAAGAAUCGCUUGAACCCGGGAGGUGCAGGUUGCAGUGAGCUGAAAUCAUGCCACUGCACUCUAGCCUAGGUAACAGAGCGAGAUUUUGUCUCAA
This is a non-coding RNA of Homo sapiens (human), 148 nucleotides long. It matches the Rfam family "Metazoan signal recognition particle RNA". Rfam says of the family: The signal recognition particle (SRP) is a universally conserved ribonucleoprotein. It is involved in the co-translational targeting of proteins to membranes. The record is from Rfam. NCBI's taxonomy places the organism in Eukaryota, Metazoa, Chordata, Mammalia, Primates, Hominidae.